GACGAACGCUGGCGGCGUGCCUAAUACAUGCAAGUCGAACGCUUCUUUUUCCACCGGAGCUUGCUCCACCGGAAAAAGAGGAGUGGCGAACGGGUGAGUAACACGUGGGUAACCUGCCCAUCAGAAGGGGAUAACACUUGGAAACAGGUGCUAAUACCGUAUAACAAUCGAAACCGCAUGGUUUCGAUUUGAAAGGCGCUUUCGGGUGUCGCUGAUGGAUGGACCCGCGGUGCAUUAGCUAGUUGGUAAGGUAACGGCUUACCAAGGCGACGAUGCAUAGCCGAGUUGAGAGACUGAUCGGCCACAUUGGGACUGAGACACGGCCCAA
RNAcentral lists this ribosomal RNA (328 nucleotides) under uncultured bacterium. RNAcentral's name for it is "bacterial SSU rRNA". It matches the Rfam family "Bacterial small subunit ribosomal RNA", at positions 28 to 334 of the family's 1533-position model. The record is from RNAcentral.